CGUGUAGGCGGACCAAGUAGUCGGGUGUGAAAGCCCUGGGCUCAACCCAGGAAGUGCGCCCGAAACCAUUGGUCUAGAGAUUCGGAGGGGAGCGGGGAAUUCCCAGUGUAGAGGUGAAAUUCGUAGAUAUUGGGAGGAACACCGGUGCCGAAGGGGCCGCUCUGGACGAAUACUGACGCUGAGACGCGAAAGCGUGGGUAGCAAACAGGAUUAGAUACCCUGGUAGUCC
This 229-nucleotide ribosomal RNA is filed under the name uncultured bacterium. Its description in RNAcentral is "partial 16S ribosomal RNA". It matches the Rfam family "Bacterial small subunit ribosomal RNA", at positions 568 to 796 of the family's 1533-position model. The record is from RNAcentral.